GCCUCCGUAGCUCAGAGGAAGAGCAUCGGAUUUCUAAUCCGUGGGCCGCGUGUUCGAAUCACGCCGGGGGCUCCA
This 75-nucleotide transfer RNA is filed under the name Caudoviricetes sp. Its description in RNAcentral is "tRNA-Arg". It matches the Rfam family "tRNA". From Rfam's summary of the family: Transfer RNA (tRNA) molecules are approximately 80 nucleotides in length. Their secondary structure includes four short double-helical elements and three loops (D, anti-codon, and T loops). The record is from RNAcentral. Lineage: Duplodnaviria; Heunggongvirae; Uroviricota; Caudoviricetes.